CAGUGCCGCGGUAAUACGUAUGGUGCAAGCGUUAAUCGGAAUUACUGGGCGUAAAGCGUGCGCAGGCGGUUUGUUAAGACAGAUGUGAAAUCCCCGGGCUCAACCUGGGAACUGCAUUUGUGACUGGCAAGCUAGAGUCUGGCAGAGGGGGGUGGAAUUCCGCGUGUAGCAGUGAAAUGCGUAGAGAUGUGGAGGAAUACCGAUGGCGAAGGCAGCCCCCUGGGCCAAUACUGACGCUCAUGCACGAAAGCGUGGGGAGCAAACAGGAUUAGAGACCCGAGUAGUCCCUGUCUCUUAUACC
RNAcentral lists this ribosomal RNA (301 nucleotides) under uncultured bacterium. RNAcentral's name for it is "partial 16S ribosomal RNA". It matches the Rfam family "Bacterial small subunit ribosomal RNA", at positions 509 to 808 of the family's 1533-position model. The record is from RNAcentral.